GGGGAUAUGGCGGAAUCGGUAGACGCUACGGACUUAAAUUUUUUGAGCCUUGGUAUAGAAACUUACCAAGUGAUAGCAUCCAAAUCCAGGGAACCCUGGGAUAUUUUGAAUGGGCAAUCCUGAGCCAAAUCCGAUUUCUAGAGACAAUAGUUUCCUUUCCGAGAACGGGAUAGGUGCAGAGACUCAACGGAAGCUAUUCUAACGAAUCAACAUAAUUUGGAUUGGAUACAAUCCAUUUUUGGAAGUAAUUAAUUGUACGAGGAUAAAGAUAGAGCCCAAUUCUACAUGUCAAUGUCAACAACAAUGAAAAUUGGAGUAGGAGGAAAAUCCGUUGGUUUUAUAGAUCGUGAGGGUUCGAGUCCCUCUAUCCCCA
RNAcentral lists this non-coding RNA (373 nucleotides) under Juniperus sabina. RNAcentral describes it as "tRNA-Leu". The stretch from base 26 to 298 matches the Rfam family "Group I catalytic intron". Rfam says of the family: Group I catalytic introns are large self-splicing ribozymes. They catalyse their own excision from mRNA, tRNA and rRNA precursors in a wide range of organisms. Lineage: Eukaryota; Viridiplantae; Streptophyta; Pinopsida; Cupressales; Cupressaceae. The record is from RNAcentral.